Molecule: microRNA, 22 nt
Filed under: Symbiodinium microadriaticum
Lineage: Eukaryota; Dinophyceae; Suessiales; Symbiodiniaceae
Description: smc-miR-12456-5p
Source: miRBase by way of RNAcentral
CCUCGUCGUCUGCUCUUUGAGC